GGCAUUACGCUGUGUGAGACUCCGGUCGCUCGACAGUCAAGUCACCCCCUUCCAGUAUCCAGUAGUGGGUAUUCAGUUACUUACUAUUGUGUGUUGGUCGUUUACUGUGAGAAAAUUAGAGUGUUCAAAGCAGGCGUUUGCUUGAAUAGAUUAGCAUGGAAUAAUAAUUGAAGGCUUUCGUGUUCGAUUUGAUUGGUUUGUUCAUGGAAGCAAGGUUAAAAGGAACAGUUGGGGGUAUUCAUAUUCACUAGUUAGAGGUGAAAUUCUCGGAUUUAUGGAAGAUGAACAAGUGCGAAAGCAUUUACCAAGGAUGUUUUCAUUAAUCAAGAACGAAAGCUAGGGGAUCGAAGAGGAUUAGAUACCCUCGUAGUCUUAGCUAUAAACGAUACCGACUAGGGGUUAGUAGAGGUCAAAGUGUCUUUAUUAGUACCUUAUGAGAAAUCAAAGUCUUUGGGUUCCGGGGGGAGUAUGGUCGCAAGGCUGAAACUUAAAGGAAUUGACGGAAGGGCACCACCAGGAGUGGAGCCUGCGGCUUAAUUUGACUCAACACGGGGAAACUUACCAGGUCCAGACAUAG
RNAcentral lists this ribosomal RNA (577 nucleotides) under Blastocystis sp. subtype 1. Its description in RNAcentral is "SSU rRNA". It matches the Rfam family "Eukaryotic small subunit ribosomal RNA", at positions 636 to 1233 of the family's 1831-position model. Lineage: Eukaryota; Bigyra; Opalinata; Blastocystidae. The record is from RNAcentral.